CAGCAGCCACGGUAAUACAGAGGGUGCAAGCGUUAAUCGGAAUUACUGGGCGUAAAGCGUGCGCAGGCGGUGUUGUAAGACUGAUGUGAAAUCCCCGGGCUCAACCUGGGAACUGCAUUGGUGACUGCAACGCUGGAGUGCGGCAGAGGGGGAUGGAAUUCCGCGUGUAGCAGUGAAAUGCGUAGAUAUGCGGAGGAAUACCGGUGGCGAAGGCGGCCCCCUGGACAAAGACUGACGCUCAGGUGCGAAAGCGUGGGGAGCAAACAGGAUUAGAUACCCCAGUAGUCCCUGUCUCUUAUAC
RNAcentral lists this ribosomal RNA (301 nucleotides) under uncultured bacterium. Its description in RNAcentral is "partial 16S ribosomal RNA". It matches the Rfam family "Bacterial small subunit ribosomal RNA", at positions 509 to 807 of the family's 1533-position model. The record is from RNAcentral.